RNAcentral lists this ribosomal RNA (468 nucleotides) under uncultured bacterium. RNAcentral describes it as "partial 16S ribosomal RNA". It matches the Rfam family "Bacterial small subunit ribosomal RNA", at positions 28 to 507 of the family's 1533-position model. The record is from RNAcentral.
GACGAACGCUGGCGGUGUGCUUAACACAUGCAAGUCGAACGGAAAGGCCCUGCUUUUGUGUGGUGCUCGAGUGGCGAACGGGUGAGUAACACGUGAGUAACCUGCCCUUGACUUUGGGAUAACUUCAGGAAACUGGGGCUAAUACCGGAUAGGAGCUCCUGCUGCAUGGUGGGGGUUGGAAAGUUUCGGCGGUUGGGGAUGGACUCGCGGGUUAUCAGCUUGAUGGUGGGGUAGUGGCUUACAAAGGCUGUGACGGGUAGCCGGCCUGAGAGGGUGACCAGCCACAUUGGGACUGAGAUACGGCGCAGACUCGUACGGGAGGCAGCAGUGGGGAAUAUUGCACAAUAGGCGGAAGCCUGAUGCAGCAACGCCGCGUGCGGGAUGACGGGCUACGGGUUGUAAACCGCUUUCGCCUGUGACGAAGCGUGAGUGACGGUAAUGGGUAAAGAAGCACCGGCUAACUACGUG